CUGGUGCCAGCAGCCGCGGUAACUCCAGCUCCAGAAGCGUAUAUUAAAGUUGUUGCAGUUAAAAAGCUCGUAGUUGGAUCUGGGUCGCAUGGCUACGUGCCGUAACUUGUAUUCCUGGCUUGGCUACGGUUGGGUCAGGUUUGCGAGUCGGCGCGUGGCUUUGUAGCCUUUCUGCCGUGUCUGUUUCGACAGGUGCCGAUGGUUAAUCCGUUGGCAUGCUUCCAGAUGCCCUUCACCGGGUGUCGGGGGCGGACGGCACGUUUACUUUGAACAAAUUUGAGUGCUCAAAGCAGGCCUAUGCCUGAAAAUUCUUGCAUGGAAUAAUGGAAUAGGACUUCGGUUCUAUUUUGUUGGUUUUCGGAUCCGAAGUAAUGGUUAAGAGGGACAGACGGGGGCAUUUGUAUGGA
Molecule: ribosomal RNA, 407 nt
Filed under: Microphallidae gen. sp. ZL-2016
Lineage: Eukaryota; Metazoa; Platyhelminthes; Trematoda; Plagiorchiida; Microphallidae
Description: SSU rRNA
Rfam family: Eukaryotic small subunit ribosomal RNA
Source: RNAcentral